RNAcentral lists this ribosomal RNA (253 nucleotides) under uncultured bacterium. RNAcentral's name for it is "partial 16S ribosomal RNA". It matches the Rfam family "Bacterial small subunit ribosomal RNA", at positions 524 to 776 of the family's 1533-position model. The record is from RNAcentral.
UACGUAGGGGUCGAGCGUUGUCCGGAGUUACUGGGCGUAAAGCGUGCGCAGGCGGCUCAUCGCGCUCGGCGUGAAAGCCCCCGGCUCAACCGGGGAGGGUCGUCGAGGACGGAUGGGCUUGAGGGUAUCAGGGGUUGGUGGAAUUCCCGGUGUAGUGGUGAAAUGCGCAGAUAUCAGGAGGAACACCGGUGGCGAAGGCGGCUUGCUGGGCCAGUUCUGACGCUGAGGAGCGAAAGCGUGGGGAGCGAACAGG